Rhodococcus sp. B7740 is the source of this 98-nucleotide non-coding RNA. Lineage: Bacteria; Bacillati; Actinomycetota; Actinomycetes; Mycobacteriales; Nocardiaceae. The record is from Rfam.
CGCGCCCGCGCGGGAGAGUUCCGAGGCACCCAGUCUCGGACGCCGAAGGAGCAACACCUCCCCGUCAAUCUCUCAGGCACACGGACCGUGUGGGCUUC